RNAcentral lists this ribosomal RNA (110 nucleotides) under Novosphingobium colocasiae. The record is from RNAcentral. Lineage: Bacteria; Pseudomonadati; Pseudomonadota; Alphaproteobacteria; Sphingomonadales; Sphingomonadaceae.
UGGUGACCAUAGCGGCGGUGACCCACCCGAUCCCAUCUCGAACUCGGCCGUGAAACCCGCCUGCGCCAAUGGUACUAACGCUCAAGCGUUGGAAGAGUAGGUCGUCGCCA